CGACAAAAACCGCUUGCCGAAUUGGGGCGUUCGUUUAUCUGUGCGGGAUGUAUAGAGUUCACAGUCACGUCAGGUCAGAAUUGGGACGUAAAAUCCGAUGCCUCGUGUAAUGAGAGUGCUACACUCUCUGAACGCAAAGAACCCUUGCAACAAUUCUUUGAGAGGUCCGUAUGUGGCCGGUUGCAAGGUAUAAUUUCUGUCCUAUCCAAUAUACCCUCAUUUUCCAGUGGCAGUCCUAGUUUCCCUGACCAUCACCCCGGAUGUCCUCUUUGAUGGCAAGACCUACCUAUUGUAUUUAUCGUUAACUUGUUUUCGUCCUGAACAUGCAUGAAAUAUUUGCCACUGGACGUUAAGCAACCAACAAUCAAUCAAAGUAUUUAAAUACGGCAAUGUUUGUAGAACAAGUAAAAAAACAUUUAUAUUCAAACAAAGAUAAAAUUUCAAAAGACAAAAAUUUGACGCUACGUUACAGUACCCGA
Molecule: long non-coding RNA, 479 nt
Filed under: Mytilus galloprovincialis (Mediterranean mussel)
Lineage: Eukaryota; Metazoa; Mollusca; Bivalvia; Mytilida; Mytilidae
Source: RNAcentral